RNAcentral lists this non-coding RNA (30 nucleotides) under Rattus norvegicus (Norway rat). Lineage: Eukaryota; Metazoa; Chordata; Mammalia; Rodentia; Muridae. The record is from RNAcentral.
GCCUAAGCUGGGUAUCCCUCAGGGUGGCCA